AGUUGAGUUGAGUUGAGUAAAAUUUUGGUAAAGUUUUUAAAUAUAUAAUGUAGAUGCAAGAAAUUUGAAAGAUUUUUUUAGUGAUUCUUCUUGACAAAUUCUUGGUCUGCACUGAAAGAAAGGAAUAGAGAGCUUUUGAGUGAGAGGCAUUGUUGCUUUUUGUACUUAGAGUAUAGGUGUCUUUUGUAUUCACAUUAAUAAAUCUUGUACACUGUUUUAUGCCAUUUAUAAUUCUCUUAUGUUAUAGCUGUUGUAAAGUUCAGGAUACAUUUAUUGUUCCACAGAAUUGUUUUAUGCGUGUGUUGGUGCCUUAUUAGUUGACUCUUUUUUU
RNAcentral lists this unclassified non-coding RNA (331 nucleotides) under Hevea brasiliensis (rubber tree). Lineage: Eukaryota; Viridiplantae; Streptophyta; Magnoliopsida; Malpighiales; Euphorbiaceae. The record is from RNAcentral.